Herpailurus yagouaroundi (jaguarundi) is the source of this 1512-nucleotide long non-coding RNA. RefSeq lists it as uncharacterized. The record is from RefSeq and is a predicted model, not a curated record. Lineage: Eukaryota; Metazoa; Chordata; Mammalia; Carnivora; Felidae. The transcript is spliced from 2 exons.
GACCAUGAGAUCAUGACCUGAGCCGAAGUCGGACACUGGACCGACUGAGCCACCCAGGCGCCCCAAGUCUAGGCCUUUUGAGAAACAACUCUUGGCCUUCAGCGGCCCUCCGGGGCGCCCGUGGCCUCACACGGCCUCGUGCGGCACAUCCGGGCUCGUUUCCUCCGGCGGUUUAUGCCGUGGGGGCCGGAGCUCGCCUGUCUCCCAGGGCCUCCCCCGGGACAGCGGCCCCCGUUGCACGGUGACACCCUCUGUGUCUCACUCCCCCCGACGCCAGCCCGGCUCCUCGUUGGGAAGGAAGAGCGUGGAACAGAGGCGGCUUCGCUGUCCGGUCUGGCGCGUGUGAAGGUCAAAGGUCUAGUUGAACACCAACCCUCACCAUGCGGGGCAGACUCGAUCACCGGUCUGCACGAGGGACAGACCUCGCCGCUGGCUCUCGGGUCCGCGGACGGCUGCUGCUUCGUGGCGGUGGUGGUUACUGCGCAUUCAGUCCACAGACAGCGGGCGUGUGGCCACGCUUCCUCCUUGUAUCCCACGUGACCCCGAGGGGACACUGGCCGGCAAGGAUGGACGUGCAGCAAAGGAGACAGACUGGAAGUUCUGGGAGGCACAGCCGGCCACGGGCGGGGAGACUCUGGCCGGCUGGGAAGGAUGGGAGAAGGUCACUGACAAGAACAGUCCGAAGCUGUCCCCGAAGAAGGGGCUCUGCGGACAGGGCCAAGGGUCCAGCCUCGGGAAAAGGCCACCGUCCCCAGGCCGCGCAGAGCUCGCGUGGGGGUGGCAGGCGGGUGGGAACCCCACAGGGGCCUCUGGGCCGUGCCGACUUCGGGCCCGAGUCAACCUCAGUGUGAAUCUCCACUCUGCCACCGGCCAGCUGUGUGACCCCGAGGACCGUCCUCGGGCUUCUUAGACCUCAUCCCAAACGAGGCAACUAACACGUGCAUUUAUAACACCCCCUGACGUGUGUUGGUUGGUGACUGAACGGUGAUGCGUGUGAGGCAACCAGCACCUAGUGUGUGUUCAAGACGUGUCACGUCUCCUCGCCCCUCAGUGCUGCAGUCCUGAGGAACACCCGGGCCCCCAAACUGGACAGCUCUCUGCUGCGUUUAGCCCAUAAAUCGUGUCCCCGGUACUGUGUCUCUUCAACGACCUUCUGUUCACCUGCUGAGCUGGGGGAAUGCCCUCAGAGCUGUCGUCUCAGGGAGUCCCGUCGGGUUUCUGGGAACCUGGCUGCAGCAGGGCACGAUUCUAGAUGGUGGGAGGCCAGGGCCUGGGUGGGGAGCGGGGGGGGGGGGGGGGCCCGGUCAGGCGGGUUAGGGUUCUCCGGUCCCAGUCCGCCCCUGGGAGUGGACGGUGUGUCCCAGCCCAGAGCUGGGAAGGACGGUGUCGAGGGCAAGCCUGGCACGGGUCACCUGCCAUCGUGUCGUUCUGUCUGAGCACUUUCUCCUUGUUUGUAAAAAUGUACUCAGGGAAGUUGAUAUGUUAAAUAAACUAUAUGGAUGCUAUACUAGA